AUGACUCUUCUCGCCACGGUUGGUCAGCCUCAUCCUCCGUCGAAGGUGAUCUCCCGCCGCGAGCACUCCAACCGGGGGCACAAGCUGACCCGGGAGCCGACGGGCCAGGCCAAGUUCAAGUGCAACGGCUGCCUCGAGGAGAUCACGGGGUGCGACAGGGACACGUGCAAGCCUUGUGACUUCGACCUCCACCAGGCCUGCAACUACAAAGAAGGGACCACGCUGGAGCACCAGCUGCUGCCCAAGAGCAAGUUCGUGCUCCGCCUCGAGGCCCCCCCUUCCAAGCAGCGAUGCAGCGCCUGCGGCACCCGCACGCAGGGCACCCACUACCACUGCGCACGGACGGGCCAUUACCUCCACCCGUGCUGCGCGAUGCUGCCUAUGGAGAUCAAGCUGAGUGAUGAGCUCAGCUUCGAGCUCCGCGAGAAGGGGUCUCGCCGCUGCGCCAAGUGCAGGGAAGGAGGCGGCGUCAGGGACUACUGGUUCUACUGCUCCAACUCCAACUCCAAGAAAGUGCACCUGCAUGUCGCCUGCGCGAGAGAGGAUUUUCUUCUGCCGAGCUCAAGCAGUACCGAGUCUCACUCUGACGUCGGCGGUAAUGGCAGGACUGCGUUGCGGAAGUACGGGUCGGGGAAGUCCGGGAUGAACCUGGGCACCAUAGGCGACAUCGUUAAGGCCCUGGCGGGCAUCGUCCUCGCGGUGCUCACUGGAAACCCGCUGCCGUUGAUUUCUGCAGGGGUCGAUCUGCUCUCCAGCGUCGCCAAGUUGAAAAAGUAG
Molecule: ribosomal RNA, 777 nt
Filed under: Triticum aestivum (bread wheat)
Lineage: Eukaryota; Viridiplantae; Streptophyta; Magnoliopsida; Poales; Poaceae
Description: partial small subunit ribosomal RNA
Source: RNAcentral